AACGAACGCUGGCGGCAUGCCUAACACAUGCAAGUCGAACGAACCCUUCGGGGUUAGUGGCGCACGGGUGCGUAACGCGUGGGAAUCUGCCCUUUGCUUCGGAAUAACUCAGGGAAACUUGUGCUAAUACCGGAUGAUGUCUUCGGACCAAAGAUUUAUCGGCACGGGAUGAGCCCGCGUGGGAUUAGGUAGUUGGUGGGGUAAUGGCCUACCAAGCCGACGAUCCUUAACUGGUCUGAGAGGAUGAUCAGCGACACUGGGACUGAGACACGGCCCAGACUCCUACGGGAGGCGGCAGUGGGGAAUAUUGGACAAUGGGCGCAAGCCUGAUCCAGCAAUGCCGCGUGAGUGAUGAAGGCCCUCGGGUCGUAAAGCUCUUUUACCAGGGAUGAUAAUGACAGUACCUGGAGAAUAAGCCCCGGCUAACUCCGUG
Molecule: ribosomal RNA, 433 nt
Filed under: uncultured bacterium
Lineage: Bacteria
Description: partial 16S ribosomal RNA
Rfam family: Bacterial small subunit ribosomal RNA
Source: RNAcentral